Camelus dromedarius (Arabian camel) is the source of this 77-nucleotide non-coding RNA. NCBI's taxonomy places the organism in Eukaryota, Metazoa, Chordata, Mammalia, Artiodactyla, Camelidae. The record is from the annotation of a RefSeq genome assembly.
GGAGAGUGGGUACAGCUCAGUGGUAGAGCACAUGCUUACCAUGCAUGAGGUCCUGGGUUCAAUCCCCAGUAUCUCCA